GACGAACGCUGGCGGCGUGCCUAAUACAUGCAAGUAGAACGCUGAAGCUUGGUGCUUGCACCGAGCGGAUGAGUUGCGAACGGGUGAGUAACGCGUAGGUAACCUGCCUGGUAGCGGGGGAUAACUAUUGGAAACGAUAGCUAAUACCGCAUAAGAGUAGAUGUUGCAUGACAUUUGCUUAAAAGGUGCAAUUGCAUCACUACCAGAUGGACCUGCGUUGUAUUAGCUAGUUGGUGAGGUAACGGCUCACCAAGGCAACGAUACAUAGCCGACCUGAGAGGGUGAUCGGCCACACUGGGACUGAGACACGGCCCAGACUCCUACGGGAGGCAGCAGUAGGGAAUCUUCGGCAAUGGACGGAAGUCUGACCGAGCAACGCCGCGUGAGUGAAGAAGGUUUUCGGAUCGUAAAGCUCUGUUGUAAGAGAAGAACGAGUGUGAGAGUGGAAAGUUCACAAUGUGACGGUAUCUUACCAGAAAGGGACGGCUAACUACGUG
Molecule: ribosomal RNA, 497 nt
Filed under: uncultured bacterium
Lineage: Bacteria
Description: partial 16S ribosomal RNA
Rfam family: Bacterial small subunit ribosomal RNA
Source: RNAcentral